GCUGGAUCUCCUGUCGUGCCUCCUUCAGGGCCAGCUGAGCCUCCACACGGUGACAUUCUUCCUCCACCCAGUCCUCCUGCAUCCUGUACAGUCGUCCUCUCAGCUCGUCGAUCUCUGUGUCCCUGAAACGUGUGGUAAUGGUUUCUUUGAGCUUGGCCCGCAAGUGUCUGAUACACACCUCCUUCUGCUGCAGAGGAGUGAGAUACUGCUCUGGUGGAGGGGGUCGAAUACCAUGGUUGUCUGUACAUGAUGUGUACUUUUGGUUGCGCCUAGGACACAAAAGACAACAGAACAGACCCCAUGCUGGAGCCACUGCAGUGACAUGAAUCUGUGAUCCACGGAGGAAAACCACUGUGAUGCUGUUCAGAAGAGCAAGGAAAAGAGAGAAGUUCAAAGCAGAUACACAAACAUGCAGGCACAACACAGAACUGCCCCAGUACACAAAGAGGUUUUCACACAUCCAGACAUCAAAGACACUUUCGUCCGUGGCAGGAAGAGAACACACGUUUAGUUGUGCACAGAUGGUGACGGUGCAGUUUUUUUGAGGAUGGUAAUGUGCUGUGGAAAAGAUGUAAAAACCAAACCAAAUGCUGAAAGUGACCCAAAAAAACAUCAAUUAGGAGACGGAAGUAUAUGAACCACAGGAGAGUGUGUCAAAUAAAAAUGACAGUGGACAGAUAAUAACUAUCCAAAUCACAACUAUGGAUGAGACAAUACAAAAGUAAAAAAAUAAAAAAUCAAAACCAGCUACAAUGAAUUCAUGCUCUAGUUGCCAUUUAGUUCACUGACACACGAUAACACCCAUAAGGACAGAGACUGCGUUGUUUACAACAUUGCUUUUUUUCACCAACAUAUAUUUAAGCCACUUUAAUGUGAUGCUUUCAGUUAGAAAAUCAAAUGUAUUCAGAUGCUGACAGUGAUGUCUUUUUUUACUUUGUCCUUACCAGAGAGCAGUCUAAGUUUUAUUCUGUAUUGUUUAACUGUUAACUGUUUUUUUAAAGUUACUUAUGGAUCCCACAAUGGAGAAAUUUACAGUGUUGACAGCAGAUUUGCUGCAACAGGCUGCGACGUGGGAGGCGCCACACACAAGACCAUCUGCGUAAGGCAGGCAUGAUAACCACUCCACUAAGGAACCAGAGCUUUUAAGUUGAAGACCUCCAGCUUCCCAGGUCUCUUUUCCAGCCUUCAAUUCUUCUUCUAUCCGAAAACCACAAUGUCACCUCAGAACAUCAUCAUCCAUGGAACCACAUGCCUGACCUCAUCUGUCAGACAUACAUGGGCUGUGCUGUAAUGCUGCUGGAGCCUUCAUUUCCUGAAGGGAACUCCCAAAGGAGAAAUAAAGUUAUAUCUAUCCAUCUAUCCAUCUAUCCAUCUAUCCACUAAAUUGCAAAACAUAGUUAUGACAAAACAAUGUUGAUUUCAUAUUGUAAAAGAACUCUGAUUGAAAAAUCAUAAUCACAAUCAAUAUGGAAGUCAUGCUUAUUUAAUCUGAUUAUUCAUUGACUUUGAAAACACAUUGUAUUUUUUCCACUGCCUAUUCACAGGUCAAAAAUCGAUGAAAUAGGACCAGGACGAUCUGCUGAUGUACCAAACUUAAACACACCGUCCCAACGUGGAGGCACAGAUAUCAAUGACCUUGUCCACAUUGUCACCACGUGCACAGUUCAGGCUGAUCCUGCAGAGUCACCGUCAUGCUGCAGUAGAUGCAGAGCACCUCAGAUCCAGCAGAGCACAGCUAUGCCAACAGUCAACAACAACAACAACAACAUACAGAGAGUGAAAGGAAAAAGUGGAAGGGAAACUACAAGGAAGCGCAUUCUACAGAAAGGCUGUUGGACCUACGUACAGUAAAUGAUACUUCAGAGUAUUCCAGGUAAGUCGUUUCUCGAGGUUCCACUGUAUACUAAUUAUUUCUGGAAAUUAUUUCUCAGAAAAUAAAAAUCUGAAUGAAAAUGCACUAAUUUGCUUUCAGAUUAAGCAAUUAAGCAUUAAGCACAUUAAACAUUAAGCACAUUACGCAAUGUGCUUAUGUAUCAUUAAAAUUCAUGAAAUUUUAUUUUGGAAGCUCAACCUUUGAUCCACAGCAACAAAAUAUAUAAAUAUAUAAAUGGACAUGCUAAUAGAUGUUUUGUAACGACUAAAAAAUGUGUAUUUAAAUGUAUAUGUUUAUUAAUAAUAAAAUAAAUAAAGGAAAAGUGUCAAUGACUCAAGUUCUUUAAU
Molecule: long non-coding RNA, 2220 nt
Organism: Cynoglossus semilaevis (tongue sole)
Lineage: Eukaryota; Metazoa; Chordata; Actinopteri; Pleuronectiformes; Cynoglossidae
Exons: 6
Source: RefSeq, a predicted model, not a curated record